RNAcentral lists this long non-coding RNA (677 nucleotides) under Phascolarctos cinereus (koala). RNAcentral's name for it is "lncRNA (ENSPCIG00000035505.1)". Lineage: Eukaryota; Metazoa; Chordata; Mammalia; Diprotodontia; Phascolarctidae. The record is from RNAcentral.
GGGCAAUUGCAAAGAGAAGCAGAAGCAGUGAUUAUAAUUCAUCUGAUGCCUGCACAGUGGGUAUGUCAGGAAGUCUUCCCGGAAAAAAAAAAAAAGUACUUAUGUGGAGGAGUUAUCUGAAGGUGGGGAAAAAACGUUUGAUGGGCAGGGAGAGGCAGGUCUAUGUGAGCCUAUCUAUUUCUGUGUGUGUCUAUUCCUUUGUCUGCAUGUAUCUGUUCCUGUGUGUGCAUGUAUCUAUUUUUGUGUGUGAAUGUGUCUAUUCCUGUGUAUCAUCUAAAUAUGUCUCUGUGUGUGUCUCUCCCUCCCCCCUGCUUGGGAUCGGUUAUGUGCUGGGAACAGGAAAAGGACAUGCCAGGAUAUGCUAGGGUGGGUGUGUUUAAACCUGCUUCUAGAGCAGGUCCUACCAGCCCAGGUUGGAGAGUCCAGCGGAAGCAAGCACCAGGUAUCGGCAGAGCAGUGGUGAAUACAGGACAACCCUGCCCUUCUCACUUAUCUCAGCAGUGUGCAGAGCCCAGCCCAGCUCAGAGGGCACUGAGAUGGAGCACAGGGACAUACUGGACAGGUCCCCAUUGUAACAAAAGAGGAGCACUGGAAUAUCUGGCUUCUCCCUGCUCCCUAUACUCCAUCUUGGUCGUACCUGGCCCUUCCUGCCCAGCGUAAGGGAUAAUGUACUUAGC